AAUAGAUUUCUUAUUCUUGAUUUUUUAUCUAAAUAAAAAUUACAUGUAAAUUUUAGUGAGAUGGAGAGAAAUUUUAGAGAAAAAUUUUAAUUUUGUAAGUCGCAGUAAAUGGGCUUAUUUAUUUAGGAGAUUGAGAAAUAGUUAAAGUUAAAAGUAUAAAUAAAAUUUGUGCCAGCAAUUGCGGUUAUACAGAUUAUGCAGUAAAAAAUUAUUGGUAUUAGUUAAUUGAAAUUUUGAAUGUAAGUGAUUUUUUAUUAGGUGAAAUUUUAAGUUGUUUAGAUAUUUUUAAAAGAUAAUGAAGCUAAAAAUUUUUUUGUAAGACUAGGAUUAGAUACCCUAUUAUGAAAAAUGUAAAUUAAAAGUAUUAAAUUAGUAAUAGUUAUGUUCUUGAAAAUUAAAAAAGUUGGCGGUAUCUUAGUCUGUUUAGAGGAACCUGUCCUGUAAUUGAUAAUCCACGAUUUUAUUAACUUGUUCUAGAAAUUUAUAUAUCGCCGUAGGUUGAAUAUCUUUGUAGGGCUUGAAUAUUCAAGAUUUUUAUUGAAAAGAUAGCAGGUCAAGGUGUAGUUUAUGGGUAAGAAGAGAUGGGUUACAAUAAAUAUAUUUAUACAGUGAGAUUUUUGUAAUUAAAUUUUUAAGGAGGAUUUAAGAGUAAUUUUGGAUAAAAUUUUAAAAUGAUUUAGGCUCUAAGAUAUGUACAUAUUGCCCGUCGCUUUCCCCCUAAGGUGAAAUAAGUCGUAACAAAGUAGGUGUACUGGAAAGUGUAUCUAGAAACU
Molecule: non-coding RNA, 773 nt
Filed under: Arachnobas tricolor
Lineage: Eukaryota; Metazoa; Arthropoda; Insecta; Coleoptera; Curculionidae
Source: RNAcentral